Molecule: ribosomal RNA, 524 nt
Filed under: Clostridioides difficile
Lineage: Bacteria; Bacillati; Bacillota; Clostridia; Peptostreptococcales; Peptostreptococcaceae
Description: bacterial SSU rRNA
Rfam family: Bacterial small subunit ribosomal RNA
Source: RNAcentral
UCUUGAAGAUAAAAGGUGAGCCAGUACAGGAUGGACCCGCGUCUGAUUAGCGAGUUGGUAAGGUAACGGCUUACCAAGGCGACGAUCAGUAGCCGACCGGAGAGGGUGAUCGGCCACAUUGGAACUGAGACACGGUCCAAACUCCUACGGGAGGCAGCAGGGGGGAAUAUUGCACAAUGGGCGAAAGCCUGAUGCAGCAACGCCGCGUGAGUGAUGAAGGCCUUCGGGUCGUAAAACUCUGUCCUCAAGGAAGAUAAUGACGGUACUUGAGGAGGAAGCCCCGGCUAACUACGUGCCAGCAGCCGCGGUAAUACGUAGGGGGCUAGCGUUAUCCGGAUUUACUGGGCGUAAAGGGUGCGUAGGCGGUCUUUCAAGUCAGGAGUGAAAGGCUACGGCUCAACCGUAGUAAGCUCUUGAAACUGGGAGACUUGAGUGCAGGAGAGGAGAGUGGAAUUCCUAGUGUAGCGGUGAAAUGCGUAGAUAUUAGGAGGAACACCAGUUGCGAAGGCGGCUCUCUGGACUGU